This 497-nucleotide ribosomal RNA is filed under the name uncultured bacterium. RNAcentral describes it as "partial 16S ribosomal RNA". It matches the Rfam family "Bacterial small subunit ribosomal RNA", at positions 28 to 507 of the family's 1533-position model. The record is from RNAcentral.
GAUGAACGCUGGCGGCGUGCCUAAUACAUGCAAGUCGAGCGACCGGACGAGAAGCUUGCUUCUCUGAUGUUAGCGGCGGACGGGGUAGUAACACGUGGAUAACCUACCUAUAAGACUGGGAUAACUUCGGGAAACCGGAGCUAAUACCGGAUAAUAUUUUGAACCGCAUGGUUCAAAAGUGAAAGACGGUCUUGCUGUCUCUUAUAGAUGGAUCCGCGCUGCAUUAGCUAGUUGGUAAGGUAACCGCUUACCAAGGCAACUAAGCAUAGCCGACCUGAGAGGGUGAUUGGCCACCCGGGAAGAGAGACGGGGUCGAGACUCCGGCGCGAGGACACAGUAGGGAAUCUUCCGCGAUGGGGGAGAGCCUGACGGAGCAACGCCGCGUGAGUGAUGAUGGUCUUCGGAUCGGAAAACUCUGUUAUUAGGGAAGAACAAAUGUGUAAGUAACUGUGCACAUCUUGACGGUACCGAAUCAGAAAGCCACGGCUAACUACGUG